This is a long non-coding RNA of Anarrhichthys ocellatus (wolf-eel), 1164 nucleotides long. RefSeq lists it as uncharacterized. Lineage: Eukaryota; Metazoa; Chordata; Actinopteri; Perciformes; Anarhichadidae. The record is from RefSeq and is a predicted model, not a curated record. The transcript is spliced from 3 exons.
AGGAAAGGAUGAACAAAAGGUGAAACGACAAUUCCCCGGCUGCUGGUUGAGGCCCAGUGCAUGUUCACUCAUUGGAGAGUUUGCUACAUCAAGCCCGGAUUUGGAAGAAUUAAUGUAAAUUGAGAAGAAGAAACUCCAGCAAGUCUUACAUCAGAACUGAAGACAGACACGAAAGACCUGCAUCUUCUCUUCAAGAAAGCUGCUCUCUCUUGCUUUGCCAUUUACUAUCUUGAUGACAAUAAUCAAUCAUUACAUGAACUAUACUCCUCCUUUACUCCUGUGCUCAAAAAAAUGACAACAAGCCAUGAAAUAUAACAUUUAUUAAAAUGUUCAACUGGUUUUUAUAUUAAAGCUUACAAGCGUUUUCUGCUACGUUGCUAUUUUUUUUUUAUCAUAAGUUCCCUACAGUGAUUUAAAAUUGUUAUUUUGUACUUUGGCCGCAGUUCAGUAAAUAAAAACAAGUGUUUUGUAUUCAAAAUAAAAAGUUAAAUCCAGCCAUGGCUACCCUAAAUCAUGUUGGAGGCUAUUGUAGCUUGUUAACAAUUAAAGAAACAGAACAGAAUUAUUGGUGAAUGAAACUAACAUCACAUUGCUUAAGAUUUGUAGUUUUCUUAUAUGUGGUUAGGGGAAAGAAGCAGAUAAUGUGAGUCAGUGUGAUAAUUAAAUCAGACUUGUGCUUAAACAUAUGCAUGUGGAUUGACUAUUUGUAUCUGCAUACGCCCUCUUUGUCCACAUCAAACUAACUGAUGGCAGUUAGAUAUGUCUGUAGUGACUGAUUGCAGCAACUAGCCACUCGGCUGGGUGCGGGAGAAGAUCCUGUUCCUUACUCGAUACAACAAAGAGAUUCCAGGCGUUUCACACUUUUGGGUGAGGUUCCCGUUUAAUUAAUGUUCACAGAUGAUAUACAAUAGGAUAGCACUUAUCUUCCUGGUCUCCCUCUGGUGUGUCUGGCUUGCGGUGAAAACCGUGCGAUCUUCCCGUCACCCAUGCCUCAUUACCUGUCAGUUGCACCUGUGCCCCACAUAUUAAUUACCUGCCACAAUACUCCACACUGCCACCCGUGGUCAACCUGAUAUAGACUCCUAAUUCAAACAUAUAAUACACAGACAUAACUAAUGGCUCCUACAAUGUCACUCUGUAUUAAAUGAUUUCUUGCUACAGAAA